AGUGAACGCUGGCGGUAGGCCUAACACAUGCAAGUCGAACGGCAGCACAGUAAGAGCUUGCUCUUACGGGUGGCGAGUGGCGGACGGGUGAGGAAUACAUCGGAAUCUACUUUUUCGUGGGGGAUAACGUAGGGAAACGUACGCUAAUACCGCAUACGACCUACUGGUGAAAGCAUGGGAUCUUCGGACCUUGCGCGAUUGAAUUAGCCGAUGUCGGAUUAGCUAGUUGGCGGGGUAAAGGCCCACCAAGGCGACGAUCCGUAGCUGGUCUGAGAGGAUGAUCAGCCACACUGGAACUGAGACACGGUCCAGACUCCUAAGGGAGGAAGCAGUGGGGAAUAUUGGACAAUGGGGGAAAGCCUGAUCCAGCAAUACCGCGUGGGUGAAGAAGGCCUUCGGGUUGUAAAGCCCUUUUGUUGGGAAAGAAAAGCAGCAGGUUAAUACCCGGCUGUUCUGACGGUACCCAAAGAAUAAGCACCGGCUAACUUCGUG
Molecule: ribosomal RNA, 492 nt
Filed under: uncultured bacterium
Lineage: Bacteria
Description: partial 16S ribosomal RNA
Rfam family: Bacterial small subunit ribosomal RNA
Source: RNAcentral